Molecule: ribosomal RNA, 346 nt
Filed under: uncultured Micromonospora sp.
Lineage: Bacteria; Bacillati; Actinomycetota; Actinomycetes; Micromonosporales; Micromonosporaceae
Description: bacterial SSU rRNA
Rfam family: Bacterial small subunit ribosomal RNA
Source: RNAcentral
UCCUACGGGAGGCAGCAGUGGGGAAUAUUGCACAAUGGGCGGAAGCCUGAUGCAGCGACGCCGGUGAGGGAUGACGGCCUUCGGGUUGUAAACCUCUUUCAGCAGGGACGAAGCGUAAGUGACGGUACCUGCACGAAGAAGCGCCGGCCAACUACGUGCCAGCAGCCGCGGUAAGACGUAGGGCGCGAGCGUUGUCCGGAUUUGUUGGGCGUAAAGAGCUCGUAGGCGGCUUGUCGCGUCGACUGUGAAAACCCGCAGCUCAACUGCGGGCCUCCAGUCGAUACGGGCAGGCUGGAGUUCGGUAGGGGAGACUGGAAUUCCCUGGUGUAGCGGUGGAAUGCGCAGA